This 279-nucleotide ribosomal RNA is filed under the name uncultured bacterium. RNAcentral describes it as "partial 16S ribosomal RNA". It matches the Rfam family "Bacterial small subunit ribosomal RNA", at positions 506 to 784 of the family's 1533-position model. The record is from RNAcentral.
UGCCAGCAGCCGCGGUAAUACAGAGGGUGCAAGCGUUAAUCGGAAUUACUGGGCGUAAAGCGAGCGUAGGUGGCAAUAUAAGUCAGAUGUGAAAUCCCCGGGCUUAACCUGGGAACUGCAUCUGAAACUGUAUAGCUAGAGUAGGUGAGAGGGAGGUAGAAUUUCAGGUGUAGCGGUGAAAUGCGUAGAGAUCUGAAGGAAUACCGAUGGCGAAGGCAGCCUCCUGGCAUCAUACUGACACUGAGGUUCGAAAGCGUGGGUAGCAAACAGGAUUAGAUA